RNAcentral lists this ribosomal RNA (506 nucleotides) under uncultured bacterium. Its description in RNAcentral is "partial 16S ribosomal RNA". It matches the Rfam family "Bacterial small subunit ribosomal RNA", at positions 29 to 523 of the family's 1533-position model. The record is from RNAcentral.
AGUGAACGCUGGCGGUAGGCCUAACACAUGCAAGUCGAACGGCAGCACAGGAGAGCUUGCUCUCUGGGUGGCGAGUGGCGGACGGGUGAGGAAUACAUCGGAAUCUACUCUGUCGUGGGGGAUAACGUAGGGAAACUUACGCUAAUACCGCAUACGACCUACGGGUGAAAGCAGGGGAUCUUCGGACCUUGCGCGAUUGAAUGAGCCGAUGUCGGAUUAGCUAGUUGGCGGGGUAAAGGCCCACCAAGGCGACGAUCCGUAGCUGGUCUGAGAGGAUGAUCAGCCACACUGGAACUGAGCCACGGUCCAGACUCCUACGGGAGGCAGCAGUGGGGAAUAUUGGACAAUGGGCGCAAGCCUGAUCCAGCCAUACCGCGUGGGUGAAGAAGGCCUUCGGGUUGUAAAGCCCUUUUGUUGGGAAAGAAAUCCAGCUGGCUAAUACCCGGCUGGGAUGACGGUACCCAAAGAAUAAGCACCGGCUAACUUCGUGCCAGCCGCCGCCGUAA